CCAAUCGAACUUGGAGAUAGCUGGUUCUCCUCGAAAUAGCUUUAGGGCUAGCCUCGUAGAGAGAUAUAUGGAGGUAGAGCACUGAAUGGGUGCGGGGGCUUCACCGCCUACCAAAUCUUAUCAAACUCCGAAUGCCAUAUAUCAUGUACGGGAGUCAGACUAUGGGGGAUAAGCUUCAUAGUCAAAAGGGAAAGAGCCCAGACCGCCGUCUAAGGUCCCCAAGUGAUUGUUAAGUGGAAAAGGAUGUGAAACCGCAGAGACAACCAGGAUGUUGGCUUAGAAGCAGCCAUCAUUAUAAAGAGUGCGUAAUAGCUCACUGGUCCAGGGGUUUUGCGCCGAAAAUGUAACGGGGCUCAAACAAUACACCGAAGACGCGGAAUGACAUUUAGAUGUCAUUGGUAGAGGAGCGAUCCAUAGAGGGAGAAGCUUGAGUGAAAACGAAGGUGGACAAUAUGGAAGAGAGAAUGCUGGUAUAAGUACACGAUAAAAGAGGUGAGAAUCCUCUUCGCCGAAAAUCUAAGGAUUCCUGGGGAAGGCUCGUCCGCCCAGGGUAAGUCGGGACCUAAGGCAAGGCCGAAUGGCGUAGUCGAUGGAAAACAGGUAGAAAUUCCUGUACCACCGAAAGCCGUUAAGAGAGAAGCAAUGACGCAGAAGGAUAGAGCGAGCGCCCAGUUGGUGAGGCGUUUAAGUAAGUAGGGAGAAACGUAGGGAAGUCCGCGUUUUGAGAUCCUGAGAUACGAAUACGAGUGAAAAGAAGUAACGAAGUCCUCGAUUCCCCGCUGCCAAGAAAAGUUGCUAUCAAGGCUAGAGGUGCCCGUACCGCAAACCGACACAGGUAGAUAGGUAGAGAAUACUAAGGCGCGCGAGAUAACUCUUGUUAAGGAACUCGGCAAAAUAAACCCGUAACUUCGGGAGAAGGGUUGCUCUCCAUUGUGAGUACGAGCAGUAUAGAGCAAAGGAGAGUCGCAGAGAAAAGGUCCAGGCGACUGUUUAGCAAAAACACAGGUCUUUGCAAAAUCGAAAGAUGAAGUAUAAAGGCUGACGCCUGCCCGGUGCUGGAAGGUUAAGGGGAAGAGUGCAAGCUUUGAACCGAAGCCCCAGUAAACGGCGGCCGUAACUAUAACGGUCCUAAGGUAGCGAAAUUCCUUGUCGGGUAAGUUCCGACCCGCACGAAAGGCGAAACGAUCUGGACGCUGUCUCAACAAGGGACUCGGUGAAAUUGAAAUACCGGUAAAGAUGCCGGUUACCUGCGAUAGGACAGAAAGACCCCAUGGAGCUUUACUGUAGCUUGAUAUUGGGUUUCGGACAUUUAUGUACAGGAUAGGUGGGAGACAGAGAGACGUGUUCGCCAGAAUGCGAGGAGUCACUGGUGGGAUACCACCCUUAAAUGUUUGGAAUUCUAAC
Molecule: ribosomal RNA, 1404 nt
Filed under: human metagenome
Description: bacterial LSU rRNA
Rfam family: Bacterial large subunit ribosomal RNA
Source: RNAcentral